This is a long non-coding RNA of Paramisgurnus dabryanus, 305 nucleotides long. RefSeq lists it as uncharacterized. NCBI's taxonomy places the organism in Eukaryota, Metazoa, Chordata, Actinopteri, Cypriniformes, Cobitidae. The record is from RefSeq and is a predicted model, not a curated record.
AUGAUAACCUUAUCUUCAAGAAUAAAAUCAUUUCGUCCGAUGACCACAGAGACAUUAUAACCAGGACCCACAAACUAGAAAUUGAAUUCCUGUGCAAGUACGAGAAAAGAAGCAACCUUACAAUGGAGAUCAACUUCUCUACUAACAUUAGUAAUGAUACAUUGUGGAUGAAAAUGCUCAGAUUUUCUCAAACCGCCAACCAUACAUCGAGUUCGGGCUAGAGGCCUUUAAAUUCAUUGUGCUCCACGAGCAGGUGUUCAUCAGCUGCUCAAUCAUCAUAUCGUCACCUUCCUAAACUAAUUGCC